AAUUCGAUUAACGCGAAGAACCUUACCUACUCUUGACAUCCAGAGAAGCUUUUAGAGAUAGAGGCGUGCCUUCGGGAACUUUGAGACAGGUGCUGCAUGGCUGUCGUCAGCUCGUGUUGUGAAAUGUUGGGUUAAGUCCCGCAACGAGCGCAACCCUUAUCCUUUGUUGCCAGCGAUACGGUCGGGAACUCAAAGGAGACUGCCGGUGAUAAACCGGAGGAAGGUGGGGAUGACGUCAAGUCAUCAUGGCCCUUACGAGUAGGGCUACACACGUGCUACAAUGGCGUAUACAGAGAGAAACGAGCCUGCGAGGGGAAGCGGAACUCAGAAAGUACGUCGAAGUCCGGAUUGGAGUCUGCAACUCGACUCCAUGAAGUGGAAUCGCUAGUAAUCG
Molecule: ribosomal RNA, 394 nt
Filed under: uncultured Arsenophonus sp.
Lineage: Bacteria; Pseudomonadati; Pseudomonadota; Gammaproteobacteria; Enterobacterales; Morganellaceae
Description: bacterial SSU rRNA
Rfam family: Bacterial small subunit ribosomal RNA
Source: RNAcentral